This 98-nucleotide transfer RNA is filed under the name Nocardiopsis dassonvillei. RNAcentral describes it as "tRNA-Pro(tgg)". Lineage: Bacteria; Bacillati; Actinomycetota; Actinomycetes; Streptosporangiales; Nocardiopsidaceae. The record is from RNAcentral.
UCCUCUCGUGGAGGGGUGUUAAUGCUCACUAACAUCUGGGAUGUUAGUGACUACUAACAUGGGUGUCCAGGGCCCGGAGCGGCACCGGGGGAGGGGAG